GGCCGGUAGCUCAGUGGUGAGAGCGGCGGGCUUAUAUCCCGUGGCAGCCGCGAGUUCAAGUCCCGGCCGGCCUA
This 74-nucleotide transfer RNA is filed under the name Nocardiopsaceae bacterium. Its description in RNAcentral is "tRNA-Ile". It matches the Rfam family "tRNA". From Rfam's summary of the family: Transfer RNA (tRNA) molecules are approximately 80 nucleotides in length. The record is from RNAcentral. Lineage: Bacteria; Bacillati; Actinomycetota; Actinomycetes; Streptosporangiales; Nocardiopsidaceae.